GACGAACGCUGGCGGCGUGCUUAACACAUGCAAGUCGAACGGAAAGGCCCUGCUUUUGUGGGGUGCUCGAGUGGCGAACGGGUGAGUAACACGUGAGUAACCUGCCCUUGACUUUGGGAUAACUUCAGGAAACUGGGGCUAAUACCGGAUAGGAGCUCCUGCUGCAUGGUGGGGGUUGGAAAGUUUCGGCGGUUGGGGAUGGACUCGCGGCUUAUCAGCUUGUUGGUGGGGUAGUGGCUUACCAAGGCUUUGACGGGUAGCCGGCCUGAGAGGGUGACCGGCCACAUGGGAACUGGGAUACGGCCCAGACUCCUACGGGAGGCAGCGGUGGGGAAUAUGGCACAAGGGGCGGAAGCCUGAUGCAGAAACGCCGCGUGCGGGAUGACGGCCUUCGGGUUGUAAACCGCUUUCGCCUGUGACGAGGCGUGAGUGACGGUAAUGGGUAAAGAAGCACCGGCUAACUACGU
This 467-nucleotide ribosomal RNA is filed under the name uncultured bacterium. RNAcentral describes it as "partial 16S ribosomal RNA". It matches the Rfam family "Bacterial small subunit ribosomal RNA", at positions 28 to 506 of the family's 1533-position model. The record is from RNAcentral.